AUAACAGGCUGAUCUUGCCCAAGAGUCCAUAUCGACGGCAUGGUUUGGCACCUCGAUGUCGGCUCGUCGCAUCCUGGGGCUGGAGUCGGUCCCAAGGGUUGGGCUGUUCGCCCAUUAAAGCGGCACGCGAGCUGGGUUUAGAACGUCGUGAGACAGUUCGGUCCCUAUCCGCCACGCGCGUAAGAGUCUUGAGGAGAUCUGUCCCUAGUACGAGAGGACCGGGACGGACGAACCUCUGGUGUGCCAGUUGUCCUGCCAAGGGCACGGCUGGUUAGCUACGUUCGGAAGGGAUAACCGCUGAAAGCAUCUAAGCGGGAAGCCCACUCCAAGAUAAGGGCUCUCACUGGUUUACCAGGUAAGGACCCCAGCUAGACGACUGGGUUGAUAGGCCGGAUGUGGAAGCACAGCAAUGUGUGGAGCUGACCGGUACUAAUAGUCCGAGGACUUGCUUAC
RNAcentral lists this ribosomal RNA (453 nucleotides) under Actinomycetes bacterium. RNAcentral describes it as "partial 23S ribosomal RNA". It matches the Rfam family "Bacterial large subunit ribosomal RNA", at positions 2474 to 2925 of the family's 2925-position model. Lineage: Bacteria; Bacillati; Actinomycetota; Actinomycetes. The record is from RNAcentral.